UUUACCUAUUGACAAGGCAAGCAAUGUAAUUACAAGAAGGGUUAAUUGCAUAUAGGUCUCCGCAAAUAUAGUAAAUUGCAAAUAUAUUCCUGUAAAGUUCAACUUUAAUAAGUUAUCCUUGCGAAGUCCUAAUGUUUUCAGAUAUAUCCCUUUAAUUUGUUAUCGUUAGAAAACUGUUUAUAUUUCUAAUUUUGCCAUCACAAAUAUGCCCCUCCAAAAGUUAUAAUAGUAUAAUAUAAGAGGAGUAAUAAUGUCAAAAAUUAACCCAGGUAAAGUAUUUAACCUAUGGUUAACUAAACUUUUCUAACAGAUUCUAACGGCUGGAACAUAUCUGAAAACAUUAGGACUUUUGUAAGGAUAACUUACGAAAGUUGUACUUUACAGGAAUAUAUUUGUAAUUCCCUAUAUUUGCAGGGACUUGUAUGCAAUUAACCCUUAUAAGAAGUGCUCCUUUAAAA
Molecule: long non-coding RNA, 458 nt
Filed under: Ananas comosus (pineapple)
Lineage: Eukaryota; Viridiplantae; Streptophyta; Magnoliopsida; Poales; Bromeliaceae
Description: long non-coding RNA (ACOM_LNC027943)
Source: RNAcentral